Molecule: ribosomal RNA, 74 nt
Filed under: Oceanospirillaceae bacterium
Lineage: Bacteria; Pseudomonadati; Pseudomonadota; Gammaproteobacteria; Oceanospirillales; Oceanospirillaceae
Source: RNAcentral
CUUGGCGACCAUAGCGAGAUGGAACCACCUGACCCCAUUCCGAACUCAGAAGUGAAACGUUUUAGCGCCGAUGG